Molecule: ribosomal RNA, 427 nt
Filed under: uncultured bacterium
Lineage: Bacteria
Description: bacterial SSU rRNA
Rfam family: Bacterial small subunit ribosomal RNA
Source: RNAcentral
UACCCUUGGCUGUGACGUUACCCACAGAAGAAGCACCGGCUAACUCCGUGCCAGCAGCCGCGGUAAUACGGAGGGUGCGAGCGUUAAUCGGAAUUACUGGGCGUAAAGCGUGCGUAGGCGGCCAUUUAAGUUGGAUGUGAAAGCCCCGGGCUCAACCUGGGAACUGCAUCCAAAACUGGGUGGCUUGAGUGCGAGAGAGGAGUGUGGAAUUUCCUGUGUAGCGGUGAAAUGCGUAGAUAUAGGAAGGAACACCAGUGGCGAAGGCGACACUCUGGCUUGACACUGACGCUGAGGUACGAAAGCGUGGGGAGCAAACAGGAUUAGAUACCCUGGUAGUCCACGCCGUAAACGAUGUCUACUAGUUGUCGGUGGUCUUGUACUGCUGGUAACGCAGCUAACGCGAUAAGUAGACCGCCUGGGGAGUACG